Molecule: non-coding RNA, 211 nt
Organism: Pelobates cultripes (western spadefoot toad)
Lineage: Eukaryota; Metazoa; Chordata; Amphibia; Anura; Pelobatidae
Source: the annotation of a GenBank genome assembly
CUCUCUUUCACUCACAAUAUCGCGGGGGAGCCUGAAAACCGAACCUUACUCCCUAGCGAACAAGUCAUCUCCUGGCAGGCCCAGGGUUACACCACAAGGUUCGAGAGACAGAGUUCCCUCCCGAUAAAAACCACUACCUUAAAAUAUUGUGCGCUAACCGACACGGAAGGACAUAUGUCAACUACCGUUAGAGUUAGACAUAGGACAUGCU